UUCACUGACAUCAUCUAGCUAGAACUUGUUGCCACAUGAAGCUGAAAACUUCUAGGAAUCAAAUAAAUAGCACUGGCUGCCACUCAUGGGUAAUUCUAAAAAUGGCCUCCUACGUGGGGUCUUGUCAAAGAUGAUGGUUUGCAUAGUAGAUUGGUGAAGACAGGAUGUGCUCCGAGAAAGAGCAAGUUCUCAACACUGCUGGUUGAAUGAGAAAAGAUAGAUGCUUGAUGGCAUCUCGUUGAGCGAUCGCUUGAAGUCAGCAAAUCCUUCUGCAUUACAAGACCUGAUGGAGUGAAUAAAGCCAUUGCAGGUGAGGAGGCAACUAAAACAACGCAAAAUCA
This 341-nucleotide long non-coding RNA is filed under the name Musa acuminata (dwarf banana). RNAcentral describes it as "long non-coding RNA (MACU_LNC010533)". Lineage: Eukaryota; Viridiplantae; Streptophyta; Magnoliopsida; Zingiberales; Musaceae. The record is from RNAcentral.